Molecule: unclassified non-coding RNA, 338 nt
Filed under: soil metagenome
Description: partial internal transcribed spacer 1
Source: RNAcentral
UUGAGUGACAUAGCUCUUAUGAGCUAUAUUGCCAAAGUCAACAAGUCGAAGUGUCGCAUAUAACUUGUUGCAAGCUUAAACCUAUAGCUUAUACUGACUUGGUGGGUGGAUAGUAAUAUUCACCUACCGCAAGCGACACUAAAGUCAGGUAAGCUAUAUUGCUAAAAUAUGUACCUGUAAGGGGGUAGUAAUACCAACCAAAACGGUAUUUAGCAAAAAUUACAAAUACUUGUAAAGGGGGAGGAAUCUAUCUUUCUCCAUCCAAAACAGUAUUUGUAAAAAAAGCCUUUGCGCUUUUCUUUUCUUUGUGCCUAUUAAGUAAAUAAAUAAAUUAUACC